This 465-nucleotide ribosomal RNA is filed under the name Vreelandella stevensii. RNAcentral describes it as "partial 16S ribosomal RNA". It matches the Rfam family "Bacterial small subunit ribosomal RNA", at positions 338 to 795 of the family's 1533-position model. The record is from RNAcentral. Lineage: Bacteria; Pseudomonadati; Pseudomonadota; Gammaproteobacteria; Oceanospirillales; Halomonadaceae.
CCUACGGGAGGCAGCAGUGUGGAAUAUUGGACAAUGGGGGGAACCCUGAUCCAGCCAUGCCGCGUGUGUGAAGAAGGCCCUCGGGUUGUAAAGCACUUUCAGUGAGGAAGAACGCCUGGUGGUUAAUACCCAUCAGGAAAGACAUCACUCACAGAAGAAGCACCGGCUAACUCCGUGCCAGCAGCCGCGGUAAUACGGAGGGUGCGAGCGUUAAUCGGAAUUACUGGGCGUAAAGCGCGCGUAGGUGGCUUGAUAAGCCGGUUGUGAAAGCCCCGGGCUCAACCUGGGAACGGCAUCCGGAACUGUCAAGCUAGAGUGCAGGAGAGGAAGGUAGAAUUCCCGGUGUAGCGGUGAAAUGCGUAGAGAUCGGGAGGAAUACCAGUGGCGAAGGCGGCCUUCUGGACUGACACUGACACUGAGGUGCGAAAGCGUGGGUAGCAAACAGGAUUAGAUACCCUAGUAGUC